This 788-nucleotide ribosomal RNA is filed under the name uncultured Lactobacillus sp. Its description in RNAcentral is "bacterial SSU rRNA". It matches the Rfam family "Bacterial small subunit ribosomal RNA", at positions 28 to 776 of the family's 1533-position model. Lineage: Bacteria; Bacillati; Bacillota; Bacilli; Lactobacillales; Lactobacillaceae. The record is from RNAcentral.
GACGAACGCUGGCGGCGUGCCUAAUACAUGCAAGUCGAGCGAGCUUGCCUAGAUGAAUUUGGUGCUUGCACCAAAUGAAACUAGAUACAAGCGAGCGGCGGACGGGUGAGUAACACGUGGGUAACCUGCCCAAGAGACUGGGAUAACACCUGGAAGCAGAUGCUAAUACCGGAUAACAACACUAGACGCAUGUCUAGAGUUUAAAAGAUGGUUCUGCUAUCACUCUUGGAUGGACCUGCGGUGCAUUAGCUAGUUGGUAAGGUAACGGCUUACCAAGGCAAUGAUGCAUAGCCGAGUUGAGAGACUGAUCGGCCACAUUGGGACUGAGACACGGCCCAAACUCCUACGGGAGGCAGCAGUAGGGAAUCUUCCACAAUGGACGCAAGUCUGAUGGAGCAACGCCGCGUGAGUGAAGAAGGGUUUCGGCUCGUAAAGCUCUGUUGGUAGUGAAGAAAGAUAGAGGUAGUAACUGGCCUUUAUUUGACGGUAAUUACUUAGAAAGUCACGGCUAACUACGUGCCAGCAGCCGCGGUAAUACGUAGGUGGCAAGCGUUGUCCGGAUUUAUUGGGCGUAAAGCGAGUGCAGGCGGUUCAAUAAGUCUGAUGUGAAAGCCUUCGGCUCAACCGGAGAAUUGCAUCAGAAACUGUUGAACUUGAGUGCAGAAGAGGAGAGUGGAACUCCAUGUGUAGCGGUGGAAUGCGUAGAUAUAUGGAAGAACACCAGUGGCGAAGGCGGCUCUCUGGUCUGCAACUGACGCUGAGGCUCGAAAGCAUGGGUAGCGAACAGG